Molecule: ribosomal RNA, 465 nt
Filed under: uncultured bacterium
Lineage: Bacteria
Description: partial 16S ribosomal RNA
Rfam family: Bacterial small subunit ribosomal RNA
Source: RNAcentral
GACGAACGCUGGCGGCGUGCUUAACACAUGCAAGUCGAACGGAAAGGCCCCUUCGGGGGUACUCGAGUGGCGGACAGGUGAGUAACACGUGAGUAACCUGCCCUUGACUUCGGGAUAACUUCAGGAAACUGGGGCUAAUACCGGAUAGGAAUCCUUGCUGCAUGGUGGGGGUUGGAAAGCUUCGGCGGGUUUGGAUGGACUCGCGGCUUAUCAGCUUGUUGGUGGGGUAGUGGCUUACCAAGGCUUUGACGGGUAGCCGGCCUGAGAGGGCGACCGGCCACAUUGGGACUGGGAACCGGCCCAGACUCCUACGGGAGGCAGCAGGGGGGAAAAUUGCACAAUGGGCGGAAGCCUGAUGCAGCAACGCCGCGGGCGGGAUGACGGCCUUCGGGUUGUAAACCGCUUUCAGCAGGGGCGAAGCUUGUGGUGACGGUACCUGCAGAAGAAGCACCGGCUAACUACGUG